AUUUUCAGAGUGCCUUCUUUCCUCUGUAACUGUGGAAAGAGAUCAUUUAAAUCCUGGAAUACUUUGAUUUCGCCCUGUAUAAGACUCAACACCUAUAGAUGUGUGUAUUGGAGACUAAUACAUAUAUUCAUGUAACCUCCGGAUCACAAGGAACAAAGCAGAGAGGGUGAAGAAUGUGCCUGCAAUGCAAGAGACCUGGGUUCAAUCCCUGGGUUGGGAAGAAUGAGAUGAGAAGCUCCCCUCUGGGUAUACUAAGAGGAGACUCAAGGAGAAGAAAUGGCAACCCACUCCAGUGUUCUUCCCUGGACAAUCCCAUGGACAGAGGAGCCACAACUGCUGAAACUUGCAAGCUCCAGGGCCCGAGGGUCACAACUAGAGUCUGUGUGCUGCAACGAAAGAAUCUGCAUGAUGCAACGAAGAUCCUGCAUGCCACAACUAAGACCCCACGCAGUCAAAUAAAUACUUUUUAAAAACAGAAAGAGUUGGUUCAAUGAAAGGACAGUGGGAAAGGGCUUUCCCUGCAGCGAUGACAGCACAGUCUGGAGCGGAAAGUUGAAGGCAGGGAGGACAGAGAUGCAGGCCUUGAGGCCCUGUGGGCUUGUGGGAGUGAGAGAUCUGUGGGGUUGCUUCACGUCUGGGAGGCACACAAUCGGGUUUGUAUUUUAGAACCACCUAGCAGCCAGAUUCCAGCAGUGCUGCAGACUUGACCUUCAGGCCCGCUUCUCAUCCAUUUAUCUGGCCCUGGGACUUCCCCCACCGCCCCCACCUCCCUACAAAGGCCAUUUCUUCUGUGAUUUCAAAAUCCUGGGUUCCUGCUCUUUGGAAUGUCUUUUGCCCUAUUCCCUCCACUGAAUGCUUCACGGUUUCACCCUUCAGUGGGACUCUGAAAUAUUGUCACCCUCCCCAGAAGUCAUCUUUUCUCUUUCCUCCGCCAGCACACUCUUCUCAGCCCAAGAAGAUUCGAUGCCUUCUCUGGGCCCAUGCCUGCCAGCCCAUGUCUCCUCGGGAUAUGCAUAUACUAAAAUAUCUUCUCUUUAUCUCAUCUGGUCUUCGCCCCAUGGGGCCACCCGGAGGCUACUAUUUAUUCUUUCACACAUUAAUUUAAGCUGCUUUAAUUGCUGCUAUGAUAUGUUUUAUAUAAUAUAAUUAAUGUUUAAUCCUGU
Bos indicus x Bos taurus (hybrid cattle) is the source of this 1163-nucleotide long non-coding RNA. The record is from Ensembl. Lineage: Eukaryota; Metazoa; Chordata; Mammalia; Artiodactyla; Bovidae.